This 468-nucleotide ribosomal RNA is filed under the name uncultured bacterium. RNAcentral describes it as "partial 16S ribosomal RNA". It matches the Rfam family "Bacterial small subunit ribosomal RNA", at positions 28 to 507 of the family's 1533-position model. The record is from RNAcentral.
GACGAGCGCUGGCGGCGUGCUUAACACAUGCAAGUCGAACGGAAAGGCCCUGCUUUUGUGGGGUGCUCGAGUGGCGAACGGGUGAGUAACACGUGAGUAACCUGCCCUUGACUUUGGGAUAACUUCAGGAAACUGGGGCUAAUACCGGAUAGGAGCUCCUGCUGCAUGGUGGGGGUUGGAAAGUUUCGGCGGUUGGGGAUGGACUCGCGGCUUAUCAGCUUGUUGGUGGGGUAGUGGCUUACCAAGGCUUUGACGGGUAGCCGGCCUGAGAGGGUGACCGGCCACAUUGGGACUGAGAUACGGCCCAGACUCCUACGGGAGGCAGCAGUGGGGAAUAUUGCACAAUGGGCGGAAGCCUGAUGCAGCAACGCCGCGUGCGGGAUGACGGCCUUCGGGUUGUAAACCGCUUUCGCCUGUGACGAAGCGUGAGUGACGGUAAUGGGUAAAGAAGCACCGGCUAACUACGUG